This 565-nucleotide ribosomal RNA is filed under the name uncultured bacterium. RNAcentral describes it as "bacterial SSU rRNA". It matches the Rfam family "Bacterial small subunit ribosomal RNA", at positions 338 to 916 of the family's 1533-position model. The record is from RNAcentral.
CCUACGGGAGGCAGCAGUGGGGAAUUUUACGCAAUGGGGGAAACCCUGACGUAGCGACACCGCGUGAGCGAAGAAGCCCUCUGGGGUGUAAAGCUCUGUCAGCAGGGACGAAAAAAAUGACGGUACCUGCAGAGGAAGCAUCGGCUAACUACGUGCCAGCAGCCGCGGCAAGACGUAGGAUGCAAGCGUUGUCCGGAUUCAUUGGGCGUAAAGAGUUCGUAGGCGGUUUGUUAAGUCUGAUGUUAAAGAUCAGGGCCCAACCCUGAGAGUGCAUUGGAUACUGGCAGACUGGAGUGCAGUAGAGGCAAGUGGAAUUCCCAGUGUAGCGGUGAAAUGCGUAGAUAUUGGGAAGAACACCGGUGGCGCAGGCGACUUGCUGGGCUGUAACUGACGCUGAGUAACGAAAGCUAGGGGAGCAAAUGGGAUUAGAUACCCCAGUAGUCCUAGCUGUAAACGAUGGAUACUAGGCGUUGCAGGUAUCGACCCCUGCAGUGCCGCAGUUAACGCGAUAAGUAUCCCGCCUGAGUAGUACGGCCGCAAGGUUGAAACUCAAAGGAAUUGACGG